RNAcentral lists this small nucleolar RNA (98 nucleotides) under Mesocricetus auratus (golden hamster). RNAcentral's name for it is "Small nucleolar RNA SNORA24 (ENSMAUG00000002588.1)". It matches the Rfam family "Small nucleolar RNA SNORA24". Rfam says of the family: ACA24 is a member of the H/ACA class of snoRNA that guide the sites of modification of uridines to pseudouridines. The record is from RNAcentral. Lineage: Eukaryota; Metazoa; Chordata; Mammalia; Rodentia; Cricetidae.
CUCUGGAAGGUCCUUGCCACAGAAGAGCAUGUUCUUGUUAUUGGCAAAGCUGUCACCAUUUAAUUGGUAUCAGAUUCUGACUUAAAUUAGUAAUGUUC